Octopus sinensis (East Asian common octopus) is the source of this 1008-nucleotide long non-coding RNA. RefSeq lists it as uncharacterized. The record is from RefSeq and is a predicted model, not a curated record. The transcript is spliced from 3 exons. Lineage: Eukaryota; Metazoa; Mollusca; Cephalopoda; Octopoda; Octopodidae.
CUUAUAUUUUGUAUUUUUGCUACUCAUUCAUAGAAAAAAAGGAAAAAUCUUCAAUACUCUAUAUUUAUUUAACUGUUUCUCACUUUAUUCCAAUCUCUAUUUUUCCUUCCUUUCAAAAACUUAGAAAAUCUUGUUGGCCUUCUUUAUACUGUACAUCAUGACUCUGAACCAGUCGUUUUUAUGUUGUGCUAACCAAGGUCCCAGUUUCUAUUGCUGUACAGCUCAUCAUAAACUUUUUAUUUUCUUCUCUCUGACUGACUAAACUACUAAUCUAUUUCACAAUGCUGCCUUAAUUUCUUUCUUUCUUUCUCUCUCUCUCUCUCUCUCUAUCUGUCUGUCUAUCUAUUGUCUAUGUAGCUCUCUCUCUCUCUCUAUAUAUAUAUAUAUAUGUAUAUAUAUAUGUAUGUAUAUAUAUAAUAUACAAGGUGUCCGUAAAUUAUCUUUACAAUGUGACAAAUUGAGGAAAAAAUAAAAAUAAGGAUAACUGAACAGAGUUUAUUGGAAAUCAGGCAAACAGAUACAGUUUUAUUAGAAACAUCAAAAUACUUCCACAUUGGUUGCAUACAACACAGCUAGAUGAUAAAUUGGGAAGAUUGUAAAAAUAAUUUAUGAACACCUAUAUAUGCCUAUGUAUUGUCUGUCUGUCUCUCUAUAUAUAUACAUAUAUUUAUAUAUGUGUGUGUGUGUAUGUGUAUAUAUAUAUAUAUAUAGGUUCAGAAUUUUGUUUACCUCAGAAAUGUUGCCCUUUGUUCAACCCUAUUCAAAUCAAGUGGCCACCUCUGCCAGAGAUACCAUGUCCUGAGAUUUUUCUAUAUGUGCCUUAUAAGGUGUUCUGUUUGAAAUUAUACCUCAGACACCUGGCGCUACCUUUGUUCUCUCUCUCUAACUCUUGUCAUUAUCUGAAGCAAUGACAGAGUAUUUCAGCAGCACUACCCCAACAGAAACGAUCUGACAGUUUUCUGUUUUAAUCUCACUUGAUCCCUGGCUUUCUCUUUUCUAUUUUUCUAC